This 451-nucleotide ribosomal RNA is filed under the name uncultured bacterium. Its description in RNAcentral is "partial 16S ribosomal RNA". It matches the Rfam family "Bacterial small subunit ribosomal RNA", at positions 354 to 796 of the family's 1533-position model. The record is from RNAcentral.
GUGGGGAAUAUUGGACAAUGGGGGGAACCCUGAUCCAGCCAUGCCGCGUGUGUGAAGAAGGCCUUUUGGUUGUAAAGCACUUUAAGCGAGGAGGAGGCUACCGAGAUUAAUACUCUUGGAUAGUGGACGUUACUCGCAGAAUAAGCACCGGCUAACUCUGUGCCAGCAGCCGCGGUAAUACAGAGGGUGCAAGCGUUAAUCGGAUUUACUGGGCGUAAAGCGCGCGUAGGUGGCCAAUUAAGUCAAAUGUGAAAUCCCCGCGCUUAACUUGGGAUUUGCAUUCGGUACUGGUUGGCUAGAGUAUGGGGGUGGAUGGUAGAAUUCCAGGUGUAGCGGUGAAAUGCGUAGAGAUCUGGAGUAAUACCGAUGGCGAAGGCAGCCAUCUGGCCUAAUACUGACACUGAGGUGCGAAAGCAUGAGGAGCAAACAGGAUUAGAUACCCCAGUAGUCC